AGUAGCAAUUACUUUGGUGGCGACCGGCGCACGGGUGAGUAACGCGUAUGCAACCCAUCUAUCAGAGGGGAAUAACCCGGCGAAAGUCGGACUAAUACCGCAUAAAACAGGGACACCGCAUGGUGAUAUUUGUUAAAGAAAUUCGCUGAUAGAUGGGCAUGCGUUCCAUUAGGUAGUUGGUGAGGUAACGGCUCACCAAGCCGACGAUGGAUAGGGGAACUGAGAGGUUGGUCCCCCACACUGGUACUGAGACACGGACCAGACUCCUACGGGAGGCAGCAGUGAGGAAUAUUGGUCAAUGGGCGAGAGCCUGAACCAGCCAAGUCGCGUGAAGGAAGAAGGAUCUAUGGUUCGUAAACUUCUUUUGCAGGGGAAUAAAGUGCAGGACGUGUCCUGUUUUGUAUGUACCCUGAGAAUAAGGAUCGGCUAACUCCGUGCCAGCAGCCGCGGUAAUACGGAGGAUCCGAGCGUUAUCCGGAUUUAUUGGGUUUAAAGGGUGCGUAGGUGGUUUGAUAAGUCAGCGGUGAAAGUUUGCAGCUUAACUGUAAAAAUGCCGUUGAAACUGUCGGACUUGAGUGUAAAUGAGGUAGGCGGAAUGCGUGGUGUAGCGGUGAAAUGCUUAGAUAUCACGAAGAACUCCGAUUG
This 645-nucleotide ribosomal RNA is filed under the name uncultured Porphyromonadaceae bacterium. RNAcentral's name for it is "bacterial SSU rRNA". It matches the Rfam family "Bacterial small subunit ribosomal RNA", at positions 75 to 715 of the family's 1533-position model. Lineage: Bacteria; Pseudomonadati; Bacteroidota; Bacteroidia; Bacteroidales; Porphyromonadaceae. The record is from RNAcentral.